Molecule: unclassified non-coding RNA, 202 nt
Filed under: Hevea brasiliensis (rubber tree)
Lineage: Eukaryota; Viridiplantae; Streptophyta; Magnoliopsida; Malpighiales; Euphorbiaceae
Source: RNAcentral
GAUGAGGCGUAAAUCAUGCAUGAAUGCUACACAUUCCAAGAGUUGUCUGCCAAGCUCACGGACAAGAUCAACCGGAAAUGGGCGAUAAUUAUUUUUCCGAAGAAAAUCAUACAAGCUUGGUCCAAGCAUCUCAAAUACAAUACAGAUAUGAUUACGAUAAUCAAACCAGUUUCGUAUUUGAACACAACGACUGCCAUUUCUG